Molecule: transfer RNA, 96 nt
Filed under: Heterobasidion irregulare TC 32-1
Lineage: Eukaryota; Fungi; Basidiomycota; Agaricomycetes; Russulales; Bondarzewiaceae
Rfam family: tRNA
About the family: Transfer RNA (tRNA) molecules are approximately 80 nucleotides in length. Their secondary structure includes four short double-helical elements and three loops (D, anti-codon, and T loops). Further hydrogen bonds mediate the characteristic L-shaped molecular structure. tRNAs have two regions of fundamental functional importance: the anti-codon, which is responsible for specific mRNA codon recognition, and the 3' end, to which the tRNAs corresponding amino acid is attached (by aminoacyl-tRNA synthetases). tRNAs cope with the degeneracy of the genetic code in two manners: having more than one tRNA (with a specific anti-codon) for a particular amino acid; and 'wobble' base-pairing, i.e. permitting non-standard base-pairing at the 3rd anti-codon position.
Source: Rfam by way of RNAcentral
GGCCGCCUGGCGAAAUGGCAUCGCGUCUGACUACGAUCUUAUCUAAUUACUGAUUGUGUAAUCAGGAGAUUGCAGGUUCGACCCCUGCGGUGGUCA